Symphalangus syndactylus (siamang) is the source of this 396-nucleotide long non-coding RNA. RefSeq lists it as uncharacterized. Lineage: Eukaryota; Metazoa; Chordata; Mammalia; Primates; Hylobatidae. The record is from RefSeq and is a predicted model, not a curated record.
UUCAGAUCCAGAUGAGUCCCAGCCCCCGCCACACGGGCCGUGGGUUCUCCUUCGAGAGUGACCACUGAUUCCUAGAGCUUUUCCUAAACUGGAGACGGAUCCUGCCCUGGGGGUCUCAGUCACCGCAAGGACUCGAAGAUGAACACCUACAACAGAGAGAAGGACAAAGCUGUCCUCCAGUGCCGGGCUCACCUGCACCACCGCCUGCAGCCUUUGCUUCCUGACUCAGCCUAACUUCCAAUGUCAGAAUAAAUGCAGGAGAGGGCAGUUUGGUGAUAAAAGGAGAGGAACUAUACUUGGAAAUGAUAUUUUUCUGCAUACUUAGAAGCCAAAACCCCACUGGUUCACUGAUCUCUGUGAGUAAAGGGUUAAUAAAGCUCCCUUUCUGGAAUUGAA